Molecule: ribosomal RNA, 277 nt
Filed under: uncultured prokaryote
Description: partial 16S ribosomal RNA
Rfam family: Bacterial small subunit ribosomal RNA
Source: RNAcentral
UACGUAGGGAGCAAGCGUUGUCCGGAAUUACUGGGUGUAAAGGGCGAGUAGGCGGGACAAAAAGUCAGAUGUGAAAACUAUGGGCUCAACCCAUAGCCUGCAUUUGAAACUUUUGUUUCUUGAGAGAUGGAGAGGUAAGCGGAAUUCCUAGUGUAGCGGUGAAAUAGCGUAGAUAUUAGGAGGAACACCAGUGGCGAAGGCGGCUUACUGGACAUUUACUUGACGCUGAGGAGCGAAAGACGUGGGGAGGCGAACAGGAUUAGAUACCCUCGGUAGU